GGCUCACCUAGGCGACGAUCCGUAACUGGUCUGAGAGGAUGAUCAGUCACACUGGAACUGAGACACGGUCCAGACUCCUACGGGAGGCAGCAGUGGGGAAUAUUGGACAAUGGGCGAAAGCCUGAUCCAGCCAUGCCGCGUGUGUGAAGAAGGUCUUCGGAUUGUAAAGCACUUUAAGUUGGGAGGAAGGGUUGUACGCUAAUACCGUGCAAUUUUGACGUUACCGACAGAAUAAGCACCGGCUAACUCUGUGCCAGCAGCCGCGGUAAUACAGAGGGUGCAAGCGUUAAUCGGAAUUACUGGGCGUAAAGCGCGCGUAGGUGGUUCGUUAAGUUGGAUGUGAAAGCCCCGGGCUCAACCUGGGAACUGCAUCCAAAACUGGCGAGCUAGAGUAUGGUAGAGGGUGGUGGAAUUUCCUGUGUAGCGGUGAAAUGCGUAGAUAUAGGAAGGAACACCAGUGGCGAAGGCGACCACCUGGACUGAUACUGACACUGAGGUGCGAAAGCGUGGGGAGCAAACAGG
RNAcentral lists this ribosomal RNA (522 nucleotides) under Pseudomonas mosselii. RNAcentral describes it as "bacterial SSU rRNA". It matches the Rfam family "Bacterial small subunit ribosomal RNA", at positions 262 to 776 of the family's 1533-position model. The record is from RNAcentral. Lineage: Bacteria; Pseudomonadati; Pseudomonadota; Gammaproteobacteria; Pseudomonadales; Pseudomonadaceae.